AUGAUCCUUAAUUUUGACCAUAAAGAAGAGUCAUGGAGCAUAGAAAAUGAAAUGCAAUGUCAGUACUUUUCAGUCUGCGACGAGAGAAGAAUUAGGCACAAACAAGUCAGCUGCAAGAGAUUGGGAGCAGUGGACAACGGUGGAAAAGGACUGCUGCCAGGAGCUACUCCACAGUCUCACUUUUAUUGGGUAGAAAACAAUAGCCAAUAGAAGGAUUGAUGAAGGUCAAACAUUAAUCCUGUCUUGCAGCAAGGAGGAGGAUAAAGUUUAUAGUUAACCAAGCACAUUCAAAGGACUCAUCUAACAACGGGCGCUUCUGGGAAGAGAAAGGAGCAAUAACGGAUAAGGGGAGCAGGCGGUUUUCGUUCCACCCUGAGCUGACCGGGUGUUCCCGGGUGCUCGGCUUCCCUGAAGCAGGCGGCAUUCCGCCCUGGGCAGGCCGGGCGUUCCUGGCUGCCCGGCUUCUGUGAAGGGGCGGCAUUCCGCCCUGAGCGAGCCGGGCGUCCCCAGCUGCCCAGCUUCACGAUCGUACAUCGGCCUUCUCCCCAAAGACCUGUUGCCAGUAUGUAUUUCUUAAGGCCAUAUCUAAAUGUGCUUGGUAACUAGUAAAAUCCUCCAGGGGUUACAGUUUAAGUAACAUUGUUCCGAGGGGCAGCAGCAAAUAAUGCAUAUAUUUGGAAAAAGUACCAUUGAAAAACUGUUGAUUUUUAUCUGUAUUUUGAGUGCCAGCAUUCUUGCAAUGAUAAGGCAAGAUUAAAUGGUAAAAUAUUAAUGGUAAUUAAUGAAAAAAUAACUGCUUAGCAAAACAGAUGCAAAUAUAUCUUCUUCAUCUUAAUAGGUAUUAGCUACCAAAGCUUGACAGCUAACUUCACACUGAAUGAGCAAACUUGAGAGAUGUUCCCUAGUUGUUUGGCAGUGAGGUCUGCUGCAGCAUCUCUCCUGAGCUAGAGAUCUUAACCAGCACAAUAUGUCAAUAAUAAAAAUGAAAGGGCUUACUAUUGCAAAUGAAGAAAAAAGUUGUCAUUAUUUGCAGAUGACCUGAUUGCCUAGAUGGAAUGACAGGUGAAUCCACAGACAGCCACGGAGAAUAGUAAGAGUUCAACAGGAUUCUCUGGAUACUUGAUCAAUAUGCAGCUUCAGUUGAGUGCCAAUAAAGUGCUAGUAUAUAAAUACAUUAUCAUACUAAGGAAGCAUCAUAAAGUCCUACAUCCUUGAGUGGUUUUUUAAAAAUCAUGUUGAUUUUUGUCAAAAGCUAUUUUUAGCAUCAAUAUUGACAGUCAUAGAAUUUUCUUCUUAGAUAUAUUAAGUGAAUUUUAUAAUAAUAAAACAUAUAUGGUGCAUUUUAGUGUUAUUAUUUUAUUAAUAAAAUUCCUGUUCUUUCAUUCCUGGUAUAUGUCUCACAUUUUUUUUUUACUGCCAUAUUUCUAGUAUUUUUUUCUUUGGCCCAUGUUUUAUGAGGAGGAAUACUUUAAAUUUCUAAAUAUAAGCAACACAUUCAAUCCUACAUUUAUUACUUAUUGCUAAAGCACAUACACACAC
RNAcentral lists this long non-coding RNA (1539 nucleotides) under Mustela putorius furo (domestic ferret). Its description in RNAcentral is "lncRNA (ENSMPUG00000024530.1)". Lineage: Eukaryota; Metazoa; Chordata; Mammalia; Carnivora; Mustelidae. The record is from RNAcentral.